GACGAACCGUGCGAACGUUGUUCGGAAUCACUGGGCUUAAAGGGCGCGUAGGCGGUUCACUCAAGUCAGGGGUGAAAUCUUUCGGCUCAACCGGAAAAGUGCCCCUGAUACUGAUGAUCUCGAGGGAGGUAGGGGCCUGUGGAACUUCUGGUGGAGCGGUGAAAUGCGUAGAUAUCGGAAGGAACGCCGGUGGCGAAAGCGGCGCGCUGGACCUCUUCUGACGCUGAGGCGCGAAAGCUAGGGGAGCAAACGGGG
Molecule: ribosomal RNA, 255 nt
Filed under: uncultured bacterium
Lineage: Bacteria
Description: partial 16S ribosomal RNA
Rfam family: Bacterial small subunit ribosomal RNA
Source: RNAcentral